GUGGGAGUAGCUGUCUUCUGGGCACAUAUAGAACUUAUCUUAGAGGUGAACAGACCUUUUUUUGGCUUCGGGACGGGUAGACCCCGAUGAGCUUGAUAGCGGUGUGUAGUUUUGCGCCAAGGGCAAUUAACUUGGCGCUUUAUUGCGCCUUCUUCGGUUGGGAAAACCGGGGGGAUGAGUGAAAUCCUGCUUUUGUUUGGUUUAGAUGUGUUUGUAAAGACCUCUGGAGAGGGAAAUUUGAAAGAGAAAAGUUACCGCGGGGAUAACAGCAUUGUCUCCUCAGAGAGAAUACAUUGAAGAGGGGGUUUAUGACCUCGAUUUUGGAUCAUUUGAUUCUGGGUGAUAUAAGGGGUCACUUUGUGAGGGACUGUUCGUCCCCUAAGUUUUU
Molecule: ribosomal RNA, 388 nt
Filed under: Novocrania sp. D1099
Lineage: Eukaryota; Metazoa; Brachiopoda; Craniata; Craniida; Craniidae
Description: partial 16S ribosomal RNA
Rfam family: Bacterial large subunit ribosomal RNA
Source: RNAcentral